GCUUGUCUCAAAGAUUAAGCCAUGCAUGUCUAAGUAUAAACGACUUUAUACAGUGAAACUGCGAAUGGCUCAUUAAAUCAGUUAUAGUUUAUUUGAUAAUACCUUACUACUUGGAUAACCGUGGUAAUUCUUGAGCUAAUACAUGCGAAAAAUCUCGACUCACGGAGAGAUGCUUUUAUUAGAUCAAAACCAAACGGCUUCGGCCGUCUCAUUGGUGACUCUGAAUAACUUUGGGCUGAUCGUAUGGCCUUGUGCCGACGACGUUUCCUUCGAAGGUGUGCCCUAUCAACUGUCGACUGUGAUAUAGACGCUCACAGUGGUUUUGACGGGUAACGGGGAAUCAGGGUUCGAUUCCGGAGAGGGAGCCUUAAAAACGGCUACCACAUCCAAGGAAGGCAG
Molecule: ribosomal RNA, 399 nt
Filed under: Crustacea environmental sample
Lineage: Eukaryota; Metazoa; Arthropoda
Description: partial small subunit ribosomal RNA
Rfam family: Eukaryotic small subunit ribosomal RNA
Source: RNAcentral